ACACCAGCCUGGACAACAUGG
This 21-nucleotide unclassified non-coding RNA is filed under the name Mus musculus (house mouse). Its description in RNAcentral is "oocyte_clustered_small_RNA10860". The record is from RNAcentral. Lineage: Eukaryota; Metazoa; Chordata; Mammalia; Rodentia; Muridae.